GUAAUAGUAGCUUAAAUUUAGAGCAUUGGUCUUGUAAGUCAAAGGUAAAAUAUUUUUCUAUUACU
RNAcentral lists this transfer RNA (65 nucleotides) under Typhlosyrinx sp. MNHN IM 2013-18371. Its description in RNAcentral is "tRNA-Thr". It matches the Rfam family "tRNA". From Rfam's summary of the family: Transfer RNA (tRNA) molecules are approximately 80 nucleotides in length. Their secondary structure includes four short double-helical elements and three loops (D, anti-codon, and T loops). Further hydrogen bonds mediate the characteristic L-shaped molecular structure. tRNAs have two regions of fundamental functional importance: the anti-codon, which is responsible for specific mRNA codon recognition, and the 3' end, to which the tRNAs corresponding amino acid is attached (by aminoacyl-tRNA synthetases). tRNAs cope with the degeneracy of the genetic code in two manners: having more than one tRNA (with a specific anti-codon) for a particular amino acid; and 'wobble' base-pairing, i.e. permitting non-standard base-pairing at the 3rd anti-codon position. The record is from RNAcentral. Lineage: Eukaryota; Metazoa; Mollusca; Gastropoda; Neogastropoda; Raphitomidae.